Molecule: ribosomal RNA, 253 nt
Filed under: uncultured bacterium
Lineage: Bacteria
Description: partial 16S ribosomal RNA
Rfam family: Bacterial small subunit ribosomal RNA
Source: RNAcentral
UACAGAGGGUGCAAGCGUUGUUCGGAAUUACUGGGCGUAAAGCGCGUGUAGGCGGCCCUGCAAGUCGGGUGUGAAAUCCCACGGCUCAACCGUGGAAGUGCAUUCGAAACUGCAGGGCUAGAGUCCUGGAGAGGAAGGUGGAAUGCUUGGUGUAGAGGUGAAAUUCGUAGAUAUCAAGCGGAACACCGGUGGCGAAGGCGGCCUUCUGGACAGUGACUGACGCUGAGACGCGAAAGCGUGGGGAGCAAACAGG